GGGGGCGUAUUAGAUUCGACAAACCUGAAGGAUUCUGAAUUGCAAGCAGUGGAAGCUUAGUCACCACUUAAAUAAUCAAAGCAAAACGAAACGAUAAAAAUAAAGUCGUUUAUAUGUCCGAUUGGAAAAAAUCUAAAGCAGAUCACCGCAAGGUAGUCGCUAUAGGUGACCGUCGAGCUCAACGAGAAGCUGCCUAGUUUCUAGGUAAGACAUACAGAGCGUAAGCUUGGCUACCCGCCCAAGCUCUGAACAAACAUGGUGGCUGCAGUGAGUAAGUUUCUUGGUUUAGUAACUUGCUAAAGAUUAAAAUCAAAACACCGGUGGGUGCUUGACCCGUUGAUCAGCGGCUCUGAUCAAAUUUCAAGACAAGCUUGUAGAUAUUUAGAACCAGUCAUUUUUGGACAGGAGGGGCAGAUCCUCCUCGCCUCCAAAA
Molecule: transfer-messenger RNA, 433 nt
Filed under: Cyanobacteriota (cyanobacteria)
Lineage: Bacteria; Bacillati
Also listed under: 1 other name
Description: JACQBQ01 sp016201905 Standard tmRNA
Rfam family: transfer-messenger RNA
About the family: Bacterial tmRNA, also known as 10Sa RNA or SsrA, is named for its dual tRNA and mRNA-like properties. Its role is to liberate the mRNA from a stalled ribosome. To accomplish this part of the tmRNA is used as a reading frame that ends in a translation stop signal.
Source: RNAcentral